GAUGAACGCUGGCGGCGUGCUUAACACAUGCAAGUCGAACGGAAAGGCUCCUGCUUGCAGGGGUACUCGAGUGGCGAACGGGUGAGUAACACGUGGGUGAUCUGCCCUGUACUUCGGGAUAAGCUUGGGAAACUGGGUCUAAUACCGGAUAGGACAACUUUUUGGAUAUUGUUGUGGAAAGCUUUUGCGGUAUGGGAUGAGCUCGCGGCCUAUCAGCUUGUUGGUGGGGUAAUGGCCUACCAAGGCGUCGACGGGUAGCCGGCCUGAGAGGGUGUACGGCCACAUUGGGACUGAGAUACGGCCCAGACUCCUACGGGAGGCAGCAGUGGGGAAUAUUGAACAAUGGGCGCAAGCCUGAUGCAGCGACGCCGCGUGGGGGAUGAAGGCCUUCGGGUUGUAAACUCCUUUCGCUAGGGACGAAGCUUUUUUGUGACGGUACCUGGAGAAGAAGCACCGGCUAACUACGUG
Molecule: ribosomal RNA, 468 nt
Filed under: uncultured bacterium
Lineage: Bacteria
Description: partial 16S ribosomal RNA
Rfam family: Bacterial small subunit ribosomal RNA
Source: RNAcentral